This 253-nucleotide ribosomal RNA is filed under the name uncultured bacterium. RNAcentral describes it as "partial 16S ribosomal RNA". It matches the Rfam family "Bacterial small subunit ribosomal RNA", at positions 524 to 776 of the family's 1533-position model. The record is from RNAcentral.
UACAGAGGUCCCAAGCGUUGUUCGGAUUCAUUGGGCGUAAAGGGUGCGUAGGUGGUGCCGUAAGUUGGGUGUGAAAUCUCGGGGCUUAACCCCGAAACUGCAUUCAAUACUGCGGUGCUCGAGUACUGGAGAGGAGACUGGAAUUCACGGUGUAGCAGUGAAAUGCGUAGAUAUCGUGAGGAAGGCCAGUGGCGAAGGCGGGUCUCUGGACAGUUACUGACACUGAGGCACGAAGGCCAGGGGAGCAAACGGG